Molecule: ribosomal RNA, 329 nt
Filed under: uncultured eukaryote
Lineage: Eukaryota
Description: partial 18S ribosomal RNA
Rfam family: Eukaryotic small subunit ribosomal RNA
Source: RNAcentral
CCCUUAGAUGUUCUGGGCCGCACGCGCGCUACACUGAUGCAUUCAACGAGUCUAAAACCUGCUCUGAUAGGGGUGGGUAAUCUUUUGAAUGUGCAUCGUGAUUGGGAUAGAUGAUUGCAAUUUUUCAUCUUCAACGAGGAAUGCCUAGUAAACGCAAGUCAUCAGCUUGCAUUGAUUACGUCCCUGCCCUUUGUACACACCGCCCGUCGCUCCUACCGAUUGAAUGAUCCGAUGAAUAUCAUGGAUUGAGGAUGCAAGCAGGUUCGCCUGUCUUCAUCUUCGAGAAGUGAAGUAAAUCUCAUCAUUUAGAGGAAGGAGAAGUCGUAACA